AGCCUCGCCUGCCUUGGGCGAUGCCUAGAGUCAUGUCUGAGGCAUAGACCUGCUCCCUGGUUCCCUCCCUCGCUUGCCUCGACCACGCGUUCCAGCUGAUCUCUGCCUGGGUGGGAACCCAGGCGUCUCGCUCGAGGACAAUCGGGGGGCGAGCAAGCGAGUGCGACCUCCGUGUCUUGGCCAAUGCACCAGCCGCGGCCACCGGGAAGAACUCUUGUCAUCUUACUCUUCACCGCGGGGAGUUCCAACAUACAGUGUAAACAAGCUGCUCACCCUCCAUCCCUUCCAACUCCCUGCAAGUCCACCUCCUCCCCACGGCUGCUCCAGAGAGAGGCUUGCUUACGUGGAAGAGGCACCGAUCCAAGUGCGCCGCCAGCAUGGUGCGUGCGCCCCAGUCAGUCAAUCAGUUGGGGUUUCCUGGGAGGCAAGCAACGCUGCCGGGCCCGUGGAAACUACUUAGGCGACCGGCCCGCCUCUAAAAGCAAAUGGCGAGGCGAGGCACUAGAGCUGGUUGGAAGUGAGUGUGUGUGUAAGUGUGUGUAAUGGCCGGUUUCAUCCAAAGCAGUUUUUGUUUCAGUAGCUUUAGAAGGAGAGAGGGAAGGAGGAAGGGAAGGGGAAAAGCAAGAAAGAAAAGCAAGAAAAGGGAAAGCAAGAAAAAGGGAGAGAGAAAGAGAAAGCAAGAAAAGGGAUAGACAAAGAAAGAGGAGGUAUGGAAGAGAAAGAGAGAGGGGGGAGAGGGAGGGAGUAGAAAGUGAAUGAGAUAUAGUUGGAUGGAUGUGUCAGCCUCUAUGAUGCUUGCUUGCUAUCGGCUGCCAUAGUAAGGGGUGGGAGGUUGGCAUUUGGGUGUGUGUGUGAGCUGGAGAGAGAUUGCCCUGUGUGAACAAGUAGGGAGAAUUGCUCCUCUAUUCUACUGCGCAGCUGUAUGGACCUGUUUAUGCCCAGUCAAGAUCAACUGUCUGAGAAUACCAGAUGGACAAAAACACCUGAAGGUGCUGCCCAGAUGACACCAAUUGGGAUGGGGAUUGGACAUUUACCCUGGGUCUUUAGGGGGAGGGAUUAGGGGAUGCUUUCUUUAAAAAAAAAAAAACGGAAACAAACACAAAAGAUAAAAUUCCAUUUUACAACAGUUUCAUAUUGGUAUUCCUCUACAAUUCACGUUUUUCCCCCUCCCCGUCUUUACAUAUAUUUAUAUUUGUGGUUCCCUUGUUCCUUACUUAUUUAUGUAUAAAUAUAUAUACCAUUUAUUCCAUUUUAAAUAUUCCAUUUCAACUUUUUCUUUUAUCUCUUUUGUCAAUUUGUCCAUCUUCGCAGAAUCCAAAAUUUUCUUUACCACCUCCUCCUCUUUUGGUAUAGUGUUGCUAGUCCAAUUCUGUGCAUAUGUUAUCCUGGCUGCUGUUAUAAUAUGUAAAAUUAGAUAUUGUAUUUCUUUGCUAUAGUUUCUGGAGUGUAUUCCCAAUAAAAAUAGUUUCGCUUUCCAGUCUAUAUGGGGUUCAGUUAUCUCUUCAAGCCACUUUUUAAUUUUAGUCCAAUAUAGUUUUGCAGAUGCUCAUGUCCACCAUAAGUGAUAAUAUGUUCCAUGAGAUUUCUUACAUUUCCAACAAAUCGGUGACGUAUUUGGAAACAUCUUAGUGAGUCUUGCCAGCGGGAGGUGCCAUCUAUAAAACAUCUUGUACUGGUUUUCCUUGUAUGUCAUUGCCAUGGUCAAUUUCACAUUUAUUUCCCACAAUUUUUCCAUUUCUCCAGUUCUAUAUUGUAUCCCAAAAUUUUUGUCCAUCUUAUCAUUGUCUCUUUGACCACCUCAUCUUCCAUCUUGUAUCUCAAUAAAUAUUUGUAUAUUUUA
This is an RNA transcript of Pantherophis guttatus, 1840 nucleotides long. RefSeq lists it as uncharacterized. The record is from RefSeq and is a predicted model, not a curated record. Lineage: Eukaryota; Metazoa; Chordata; Lepidosauria; Squamata; Colubridae.